Molecule: long non-coding RNA, 560 nt
Organism: Chelonia mydas (Green sea turtle)
Lineage: Eukaryota; Metazoa; Chordata; Testudines; Cheloniidae
Exons: 2
Source: RefSeq, a predicted model, not a curated record
GCGAGCUCCUGCCAGGCAGCGCAGCUGCGAGAGCUGCCAGCCUGCCCCAGUGCUCUAGACUGCGUGGCGGCGUGCCUGCCAGUUCUGGUGUUCUGAGCAGCAUGACAGAUUGGCAUCAGCACUAGGCCUACUUGAUGGGCCAUGAAGGGACAUCAACUGUACAAUGAACCCUACUGUUACGUAGGGGCAUGCAUCUGGACAGAACUCUAAGGUUUUUCCAUGCCAUGUGCUGGACAGCUUGUGUUUGGAGCAAAGGAAGUACAAGCCACAUAGCAAAAGGAAUAUAAAAGGCAACUGCAUCAUCUCCAUUUUGUCUUCAGCCCUGCUUCUUACUUCUGGAGUAAUCUUUCUACAAACGAAGCUCUGAACAAAGGACUGAAUGACCCAUCCAAGCUGUGGAUGUGUUCCAGAGGGACUUUCUUCAAGCCAACAAAUUCACCAAUAUUGCUAAGAACCUGAUACAUGGACUUCGAAUCGUUGUUUAUAUGUGAUUGCUUUACCAUUUAACUUCUCUCUUCUUGUUCUUUCUUUAUAAUAAACUUUUAGUUGUAGGCACUAAA